GUUACCUCACAGGAGCACUCUUGCUCAGGGUGGCUGUGCCACGUUACCUCACAGGGGCUGUCUUACUCAGGGCAGCUGUGCCAUGUUACUUCCCAGGGGCUCUCUCAGUCAGGGCAGCUGUGCCAUGCUACCUCAGAGUGGCUGUCCCAGGAGGGCUGUGGCCCUUUUCUGUUGGCUGACCAAUUUUCUGCCUCCAUCUUCGUUAUGUGCUGUCAAUGUUCAUCCUGAGGUGCACCACUUGUUCAUUCAGUCAUCCAAAGCCAAGACACACCGAAACCAGGAAGAUGUCCUUCUGGGUGACCGCUCUCCUUUUGUGAGGCUCACGAAUUCUACUCUUCCACUUUUGCGAGGUCCUUCUGUACUCCUGGAGUGAAGCACAUUGGAAGAAGAGCAGCUUGAGGAAGUCUGUGGAAUUCACUGCCAUCGAUAUAUCCUUGAGGCCACGAGCUUGUUGUUGUUAAUCUGUGUUGAGUGUGUAAUUGAGAUCCUAAGAGGGAGAUUAGCAGGAACCCCUUUGGGAAGACAUCUGACCUACACAAGGAAGCUAAUACAUAAAUAGCCCAAACCAUUGAGGCUAACUGCACCAUUUACCUGGAUGGUACCAUCCCUUCAUCAAGAGCCUCUCAGCGCCCCAGAGCUGAUCACCAUCUCUGUCAUUAGCCCCAGCCUCGCUUAGCUCUGCCGCUGUCAUUUGUGUCUGGAUGUGGAAACGUUUCCCUGGACGCUUGAUUCAUCCGUCAUUUAGAUAAUUGGAAAAAGCAGUUUUCAGGAGCAGCGUUCUACUGGGAAGCAGCCUGUUUCAAUCCAGAUGAACGUGAUGGCCAGCCUAUCAAAGCUGUUUUUCAGAUUCACUCACGUGGCUUUGCAGAACCUUCUGGCAUCUGCUAGGAGGAAACUCUGAUUAACCCAACAUUAUUCUUAAACACCUAUUGCUUCUGCAGCUGCUGCCCUGCUACUGUUAUCUAAGGCGGCUGGGCGUAAAUAUUCUCCUAACUGCUUGGCGUGAUCCUUUGGGACAGAAGGCCCUGCGUGAAUGGAAGAUAUUAUUAAUUAUCAGCAGCUCUUGUCCUAAUAAAGGGCCAGGGUUUUUCGACGCACGGGGCUUUGAUUCAACAAUCAUCUUUCAAGCAGCCGGCUUGCAGCCUCACCUUAAACUCUCAGCACAGCAAACUCUUUGCCAAAUAUAACCCGACUGCUAGGCCAUGAUGGAUAUAUAUGUAUAUCCCCUUCCCUGCCUCAGUGAUCAAACGGCAAAGCAAAUGGCUCCUAUGACAGAUGUGAGAUCUUGGAAGCGUGGAAACAUCGAAAGACUUAUUCUCCUGGGAUGUGCCAGACACCAUAGGCGCAGGAAAUAUUAAUGGACCUUUCUCCAUCAGUAAGUGUGGUGUGUAUCUUUGUGGUUUUCUGGCUUGCUGGGUCGGUUUCCUGUGGCAUCUAGAAUUAUUAAUGAAAAGUCACCCAGUGCCAGUUAUGCAGAUAUCAGCCUUUCCUGGGGAGAGGGGCAUUGAUGGGUUUUAUCUGUUUCGGGGGGCUGGCCUCCAAACUAUUACCACCCCCCCCCCAAAAAAAAAGAAAAAGAAAAGUGUCAGCAUGAACUAAGUAGGUCCCAAGGAGGCAAUAUCUUGCUGGUAGGCAGAAAAACCUGCAAGGGUCUCCAAGUGGAAGAUGGCGCAACAGCUGGUAAGCCUGGCAUCCGUGUAGCCUGCUUAUUAUUUUAUCAUACAUUUUUUUCUCUGUAAAUGUACUGUGCUCUGUGUAAACUGGCUGGUCACUGGUUGAGAGGAGAGAGAGAGAGAGAGGGAAAAAAAACACACACGCGAACGAACAGCAGGCGCUGGACUAAAGCGUGUGAACUCCCCUACAGGUACUUCGUUCCCUCCUCCUCUGCCCCCAAAUGGAUUUGACCAGCCCUGCCAGCCUCUUGUGUAAAAUCAGGGCUUCCCAUAGACCACUUCAUGGAGAUCGCUUCCCUGUUGUGAGGCGCUUGGAUGGUGGGUUCUUGAGCGGUGAGAAUUACACCUCCACUGUGGCCUCUCAGAUACUCUGCACAAAGCUUAUUUUACCUGGGCUUUGCAUACAGACUUGAGGAGACUGUGUUUGUUUUCAUAGCUUCAUGCAGUUUAAGGACACAAGGGAUCAUUCACUUCUCUAGUCUGACUCCUGUAUGUCACGGGCCAUUACAUUUAUUUCACCCAGAUACCGCUAUAUUCCGUGUAACGGCUUUAGUUAGACUAAAGUAUUUCAGUCCUUGGGAGACUGCACUGUAGCGUGUAGGGAACCAGGUGUCCGGUUUUCGACCGGAACACCCGGUCGGAAAGGGAUCCUCGUGGCUCCAGUCAGCACCGCUGACCAGGCCGUUGACUGUCCGGUUGGCAGCACUGUGCAGUGGGGUUGGCAGGCUUCCUGCUAGCUUUCAUGGUGCGCGGAUCCCGGAAAGCAGUCGACAUGUCUCCACUCCGGCUCCUAUGUGUAAGAGCAGCCAGGCAGCUCUGCCCGCUGGGCCCCCCACCCCCGUACCAAGUGCCUCCCCCACAGCUCCUAUUGGCUGGGCCGCAGCCCU
Molecule: long non-coding RNA, 2560 nt
Organism: Mauremys reevesii (Reeves's turtle)
Lineage: Eukaryota; Metazoa; Chordata; Testudines; Geoemydidae
Exons: 5
Source: RefSeq, a predicted model, not a curated record